Molecule: long non-coding RNA, 545 nt
Filed under: Malus domestica (apple)
Lineage: Eukaryota; Viridiplantae; Streptophyta; Magnoliopsida; Rosales; Rosaceae
Description: long non-coding RNA (MDOM_LNC015498)
Source: RNAcentral
CUAUGCGGAUUUUUAGAACAAUGGUUGUGGAUUAAGGAUUUCACAAAGCAAAUGUUGAGAGUAAUUCUGCAUCGGGAAAAUGAGAAAUAUUGUAUGUACUUAUAAGUAAUUAGAUUACUCUUCAUAAUGUCAAUUAAUUUUAGAAUAAUUCUCCCUUUAUUAUCUUGAAGUAUUGUGGUUUUUCACCUUUCAUACAUCAAGUUUUUUUGCUUCUCCAGAAUUUUACAAAUAUUUUUCUUUCCCUUCACUUUUGGGUGGUUAACAUGUCCAACAUGAAUUUUAGGAGGAAUUGCUUUACCUUUUUGGUUGGGCAGCUGUGAUUUGACCAAAAGAGGCAGCAAGCUUUUGUUCUUUUCAUUUGGCAUCUGGGUGGGAUGAACGACAAAUUGUUUUAUUUUUUUUCUUAAUUUUUAUUUUUUUUUUAAUUUACACAUGGGUCAAAUUGAUACAUGGCAUGCAAUUAUUAUCCACAUGAGUACUCACAGGUUAACAAAAGAUUUGAAGAAAAACUUAACAGAUGUACGAAAAUGUUUCAUAAUUUUCAU